GCCUGGGUGGCUCAGUCGGUUGAGCAGCUGACUUCGGCUCAGGUCACGAUCUCGCGGUCCGUGAGUUCGAGCCCCGCUUCGGGCU
This 85-nucleotide transfer RNA is filed under the name Felis catus (domestic cat). It matches the Rfam family "tRNA". From Rfam's summary of the family: Transfer RNA (tRNA) molecules are approximately 80 nucleotides in length. Lineage: Eukaryota; Metazoa; Chordata; Mammalia; Carnivora; Felidae. The record is from Rfam by way of RNAcentral.